GAUGAAGAACGUAGCGAAAUGCGAUAAGUAGUGUGAAUUGCAGAAUUCAGUGAAUCAUCGAAUCUUUGAACGCACAUUGCGCCCUUUGGUAUUCCUUAGGGCAUGCCUGUUCGAGCGUCAUUUAAACCUUCAAGCUAAGCUUCGUGUUGGGUGACUGUCCGCUUCACGGCGGACUCGCCUCAAAAUUAUUGGCGGCCGGUACAUUGGCUUCGAGCGCAGCAGAAACGCGAACUCGGGCCCGUCGUAUUGGCUCCCAGAAGCUAUCUUCACAAUUUUGACCUCGGAUCAGGUAGGGAUACCCGCUGAACUUAAGCAUAUCAAUAAGCGGAGGA
Molecule: unclassified non-coding RNA, 332 nt
Filed under: soil metagenome
Description: partial contains 5.8S ribosomal RNA, internal transcribed spacer 2, and large subunit ribosomal RNA
Rfam family: 5.8S ribosomal RNA (bases 1-120)
Source: RNAcentral